Long non-coding RNA from Zingiber officinale, 2394 nucleotides. RefSeq lists it as uncharacterized. NCBI's taxonomy places the organism in Eukaryota, Viridiplantae, Streptophyta, Magnoliopsida, Zingiberales, Zingiberaceae. The record is from RefSeq and is a predicted model, not a curated record. The transcript has 2 exons.
CUUUCCCUUCCCCUCCCGAUCCUCAUACGCCCGAUCCCCUUCUCUCCCUUCUCCACUUCGCCAACGCCACUCCACCGCCGCCUCCCCGCGCAGGAUUGAGCCGACAAUGUCGGUGUCGUCCAACAAUUUCCUUCUCCUCUCACCGCCGCAAACCCUGAUUCCCCUCUUCUCUUUUGCCUCUGCCCGUGCGCCGCCGACCUCGACGUCAAAGCCACUCUGCCUUGUCAUUGCUCCUUCUGAUCGAUCGAGGCUGAAGCAGAUCUGCCUCGUCAGCGCUUCUUUCCACUUGAUCACCAUUGAAGUUGCUUCGCCGUUGGGUGCCGCUGUCGCCGGAGGAAGGAUUGACGCAAAGGGGAGGCUAGGGCUUACUCUCUUUCUCCUCUCGACGUCGCCGGCGCAAAGCUACUAUUAGUGCGUUGAGGGGGGAACUUGCUACAACCGACCCUUCUCUUCUCUGACCUCUACAAGUGGUAGCGUCAAGUCCUCCACCCCCUUGCCAUUGCCGCACCCACUUCCUCCAUCAGAGUGAAAUCUCAGCCUCUAGAGUCUGAUCUGGAUCUUCGCCACCUCCUCCCAGUCUCUAUUGGACGCAGCUAGCCCUAGAUCAACAUCGGCGCCCCUUCCUUCCAUAAACUCGUUGCUGCUUUCUGUGAACCACCAUCGCAACUGUGUACUGCCACCACAGUAGCAGUCAUUGUUGGCUGCUAGCAGCAAUCACCGAUCCAGGACUAUCGUUGGCCGCAGGCUUGGCUAUCAGGAGUUGGUUAGAGGAAUCUGUCGACACAUUUAGAUAAGACUGUUGAACUGAGCUUGAAGUGGAUUGCAAUGUUAAUUUACCGAUUAUGAUUUUAGGGUAAUUGAUGUGAGGAUCAGUGGGCAAUCCACAGCUCCGGCCACAAAUUUCCAACGCCAAGAUCUUUGGCCAUGAGCAAUAGAGGAGCAAUCACAUUAGGACGUUGAUUCGAGACGAGCAUCUCGACGUGGGAUUGUUAGCACGAUAGACAAAUAAAGGCGGGUACGUUUGACUUAUCUCUUUAGAUAUUGUCAUUAUGAUAUAUUUAGUAGGUUAUAACUAGUAGUAAUGGUUAUGUUUAUAUCUGCUUAGUAUGUCACCACUUGAUAGUCGUAGUUUGCCCUUAUUAUUAUCUAUUGUGCAUUCAUGCUUAUGUUCUCUUAUUUCUUGCCAUGUGUACUUAUGUAGUGGCAUUCAAUGUAUUACCGGAUACAGGUCUAGCUACUAGUUUAUUUCCUAGCAUGUGUACCUAGCUUUAUUACCUGUCAUGUGUACCUAGGUGUAUUUCUUUGCAUGUGUACAUAGGUUUGUUUUCUGGCAUGUGUAUCUAGAUCAUUGUUAUGGACUUGGUUUCCUUUUGGUACACAUUAUGGGAAGGUUGGUAUUUUCAGGAUUUACAUGCUUAGUGUCAUGCAUUAUUUUGCAUGAUUGCAUGCUGAGCGAUUGUCGGCUCCAUUAUUGUUGAGCACAUCGCCAGUUACAUGGAUCUGCACAUACAACCACUCAUGGGUUAGUGGUAUAUUAGGCAGGGUAUGUGGUAGUUUGCUCUGUAAGUGCUCUGUUGGUCCACUCAUGGGUAGUAUGACGCGGCGUGAUAGCAUGACAGAGAUCCCUCCUCUAGACUGUCUCAAGGAGAUGAGAGCAUUGAGCUCCCCCACUUAUGAUUUGGAGUAGGAGUAUAGGUGUACUUCAACAGCAUCCUGUCCACUCGGUCACUCAGGAGUAGUGAUGGUAGAGUGUACAGUUGUCAUAGUCCUACCCACUCGGUCUCAUCAUUGCGUGUGAGAUGGCUGACUGGGGUCAAGGGUGGUCAUGUCAUUUUUGCAUCAUAUGCAUGGAUUGUAUCUAUUGUUUGUGCUUGCUACAUUAUGUAUGUUGCAUUUUGGUGGUUGCAUAUGAUUGACAUGCAUACAGGAUACAUUAUGUAUUUGGUUUGGUGACCCUGCAUCUAUUGGUGUGGCUCCCACCCUUAUGUCAUGAUAGGAGACUCUGGUGAGUACAGUUCUUCUUUCCUUGUUUCAAUUUUGCAUUACAUGUUAUUGUUCAAGAGACUAUACUCCAUGAUUAUUACUAGUAGUUAUUUCUUACUAUGCAUGUUAGAUUGAUACACAUUGAGUUGUUGAACUCACUCCGUUGCAUUAUUCCUAUUACAGGUAGAUGAUUAAGCAGUUGCUUGGAGGAAUCCUGUAUGUCGGUCCCUCGUCAUAUUAGAAGACGGUUUUACUUCGCUUUUAUUUUCUUUUAUAUAUAUUCUUUAAUGUUUUAGCAUUGUAUUGGUGUUUAGCCAUGUGGUUAUUGUCUUUGAUUUUUGGUGUUGUAUUUGUGUUUAAGUCGUGCCAACAUGCAUUAUCUUGUUUUGGUUUGUAUGGGCUUUCCGUUUA